AUAAAAUAGCAGGUUUAGUGUUGGGAGAGGAGGCCACAGAAGUUGGAAACGUCUGAGGGAACUCAGUGGAGAAAGAUCUAGUUUAACCAGCUCAUUCUGGAAAACACAAACACCCCUGGUAGUGCUUGACAGAUGGUACAUCCCAUCAUCACCAGCUCUAUAAAAUCUUUCAGAAACCCUCUGCUUUGGUUUGAAGCACUGACAACACUGACAAGCUCAGAGACUGGUGACCUCUCCAGAGUGCGCCCCACCUCCAGCCCAAUGACGCCUGGAGAUAGGCACCCCCUUCCUGCGACCCUGCAAGGACAAGCUGGAUCUGCAGUCAUCCACAGUUUUCAGUCCUGGAUACAGGAAGAAGGACAGAGAGAGAAGGGGAAGACAUGCAGCAAAUGGGCUGGGAAUUGAACCGGAGACGACUGCGCUGAGGCCUCUGCACGUGGCGCCCUACUGGAGUCAUUUCUAAGCAACUGCAGAUUCCAUCACAUUGGCCUAAGAAUGCACCAAUAUCGAAAUUUUUGCCAAUAUCGAUUUCCAACAUUAAAAUU
Girardinichthys multiradiatus is the source of this 545-nucleotide long non-coding RNA. RefSeq lists it as uncharacterized. The transcript has 4 exons. NCBI's taxonomy places the organism in Eukaryota, Metazoa, Chordata, Actinopteri, Cyprinodontiformes, Goodeidae. The record is from RefSeq and is a predicted model, not a curated record.